Molecule: ribosomal RNA, 1123 nt
Filed under: uncultured bacterium
Lineage: Bacteria
Description: bacterial SSU rRNA
Rfam family: Bacterial small subunit ribosomal RNA
Source: RNAcentral
CCUACGGGAGGCAGCAGUGGGGGAUAUUGCGCAAUGGGGGAAACCCUGACGCAGCAACGCCCGCGUGGAGGAUGACGGUUUUCGGAUUUGUAAACUCCCUUUUAUGGGGGACGAACUAAGACGGUACCCCCAUGAAUAAGCUCCCGGCUAACUACGUGCCAGCAGCCGCGGUAAUACGUAGGGAGCAAGCGUUGUCCGGAUUUACUGGGUGUAAAGGGUGCGUAGGCGGCUUGGUAAGUCAGGUGUGAAAUGUAGAGGCUCAACCCCUGAACUGCACUUGAAACUAUCGAGCUUGAGUGAUGUAGAGGCAGGCGGAAUUCCCUGUGUAGCGGUGAAAUGCGUAGAGAUAGGGAGGAACACCAGUGGGCGAAGGCGGCUGCUGGGCAUUAACUGACGCUGAGGCACGAAAGCGUGGGUAGCAAACAGGAUUAGAUACCCUGGUAGUCCACGCUGUAAAACGAUGAUUACUAGGUGUGGGUGGACUGACCCCCAUCCGUGCCGCAGUUAACACAAUAAGUAAUCCACCUGGGGAGUACGGCCACAAGGUUGAAACUCAAAGGAAUUGACGGGGGCCCGCACAAGCAGUGGAGUAUGUGGUUUAAUUCGAAGCAACGCGAAGAACCUUACCAGGUCUUGACAUCGAGUGACGUACUUAGAGAUAAGUAUUUCCUUCGGGACACGAAGACAGGUGGUGCAUGGUUGUCGUCAGCUCGUGUCGUGAGAUGUUGGGUUAAGUCCCGCAACGAGCGCAACCCUUGCUAUUAGUUGCUACGCAAGAGCACUCUAAUAGGACUGCCGUUGACAAAACGGAGGAAGGUGGGGACGACGUCAAAUCAUCAUGCCCCUUAUGACCUGGGCUACACACGUACUACAAUGGCCGUAAACAGAGGGACGCAAUAUGGCGACAUGGAGCAAACCCCUAAAAGCGGUCUCAGUUCAGAUUGCAGGCUGCAACCCGCCUGCAUGAAGUCGGAAUUGCUAGUAAUCGCGGAUCAGCAUGCCGCGGUGAAUACGUUCCCGGGCCUUGUACACACCGCCCGUCACACCAUGGGAGCCGGUAAUACCCGAAGUCAGUAGUUCAACCGCAAGGAGAGCGCUGCCGAAGGUAGGAUUGGCGACUGGG